UACGGAGGAUGCGAGCGUUAUCCGGAUUUAUUGGGUUUAAAGGGUGCGUAGGCGGACUGGUAAGUCAGUGGUGAAAACCUGCAGCUUAACUGUAGAAUUGCCAUUGAUACUGUCAGUCUUGAGUACGGUCAAGGUAGGCGGAAUGUGUAAUGUAGCGGUGAAAUGCUUAGAUAUUACACAGAACACCGAUUGCGAAGGCAGCUUACUGGGCCACCACUGACGCUGAGGCACGAAAGCGUGGGGAGCGAAC
Molecule: ribosomal RNA, 250 nt
Filed under: uncultured bacterium
Lineage: Bacteria
Description: partial 16S ribosomal RNA
Rfam family: Bacterial small subunit ribosomal RNA
Source: RNAcentral